GGGGAAUCUUCCGCAAUGGACGAAAGUCUGACGGAGCAACGCCGCGUGAGUGAUGACGGCCUUCGGGUUGUAAAGCUCUGUUAAUCGGGACGAAAGGUCUUCUUGCGAAUAGUUAGAAGAAUUGACGGUACCGGAAUAGAAAGCCACGGCUAACUACGUGCCAGCAGCCGCGGUAAUACGUAGGCGGCAAGCGUUGUCCGGAAUUAUUGGGCGUAAAGCGCGCGCAGGCGGAUCAGUCAGUCUGUCUUAAAAGUUCGGGGCUUAACCCCAUGAUGGGAUGGAAACUGCUGAUCUAGAGUAUCGGAGAGGAAAGUGGAAUUCCUAGUGUAGCGGUGAAAUGCGUAGAUAUUAGGAAGAACACCAGUGGCGAAGGCGACUUUCUGGACGAAAACUGACGCUGAGGCGCGAAAGCCAGGGGAGCGAACGGGAUUAGAUACCCCGGUAGUCCUGGCCGUAAACGAUGGGUACUAGGUGUAGGAGGUAUCGACCCCUUCUGUGCCGGAGUUAACGCAAUAAGUACCCCGCCUGGGGAGUACGACCGCAAGGUUG
RNAcentral lists this ribosomal RNA (549 nucleotides) under uncultured bacterium. Its description in RNAcentral is "bacterial SSU rRNA". It matches the Rfam family "Bacterial small subunit ribosomal RNA", at positions 356 to 896 of the family's 1533-position model. The record is from RNAcentral.